RNAcentral lists this ribosomal RNA (503 nucleotides) under uncultured bacterium. Its description in RNAcentral is "partial 16S ribosomal RNA". It matches the Rfam family "Bacterial small subunit ribosomal RNA", at positions 30 to 523 of the family's 1533-position model. The record is from RNAcentral.
AUUGAACGCUGGCGGCAGGCUUAACACAUGCAAGUCGAGCGGGGUGAUGGUGCUUGCACUAUCACUUAGCGGCGGACGGGUGAGUAAUGCUUAGGAAUCUGCCUAUUAGUGGGGGACAACAUCUCGAAAGGGAUGCUAAUACCGCAUACGUCCUACGGGAGAAAGCAUGGGAUCACUUGUGACCUUGCGCUAAUAGAUGAGCCUAAGUCGGAUUAGCGAGUUGGUGGGGUAAAGGCCUACCAAGGCGACGAUCUGUAGCGGGUCUGAGAGGAUGAUCCGCCACACUGGGACUGAGACACGGCCCAGACUCCUACGGGAGGCAGCAGUGGGGAAUAUUGGACAAUGGGGGGAACCCUGAUCCAGCCAUGCCGCGUGUGUGAAGAAGGCCUUAUGGUUGUAAAGCACUUUAAGCGAGGAGGAGGCUCUUUUGGUUAAUACCCAAGAUGAGUGGACGUUACUCGCAGAAUAAGCACCGGCUAACUCUGUGCCAGCAGCCGCAGUAA